Molecule: unclassified non-coding RNA, 323 nt
Organism: Cebus imitator (Panamanian white-faced capuchin)
Lineage: Eukaryota; Metazoa; Chordata; Mammalia; Primates; Cebidae
Rfam family: Metazoan signal recognition particle RNA
About the family: The signal recognition particle (SRP) is a universally conserved ribonucleoprotein. It is involved in the co-translational targeting of proteins to membranes. The eukaryotic SRP consists of a 300-nucleotide 7S RNA and six proteins: SRPs 72, 68, 54, 19, 14, and 9.
Source: Ensembl
GUAGGGUGCAGUGAUGCAUGCCUGUAGUUCCAGCUAUUGAAGAGGCUGAACCAGAAGGAUUGCUUGAGUCCAGGAGUUUAGCACGCUAAGACUCUAGUGCACCAGCACUCUAGUGCAGUAAGCCAAUUGGGUGUCCACACUAAGUUCGGCAUCCGUGUGGUGACCACCUAGGAGCAGGGGACCACCAGUUUGCCUAAGGAGUGGUGAACAGGCCCAGAUCAGAAACCGAGCAGGUCAAAACUCCCCUGCUGAUUAGUAGUGGGAUCAUGCCUGUGAACAGCUGCUGUGCCCCAGCCUGGGCAACAUAGUGAGACCCCAUCUCC